UUCGCUCCCAGGUUUAUCAUCUUUAAGAGCUGUUCUCAUUUAAAAGAUCCCCUCUCCUCUGUGCCCUGACGAAUUAGAAUAUGUGUAAUCUAUUGGCAAUCUGCUUUUAUAAACACACACACACAAAACACCCCACGAUGGGGCAGUUCUCUUGCGUCACAGUGUAGCCGAGUAGGAAUGGACUCUUGGCAGCUAACAACAACUUGCUGAGCGAAAAGAACAGAAUCCUGGCGGCGCGAGUGGGUUGAAGCAACUGGGCCGCUAACCGAAAGAUGCGUGGUUUAAGCGCAAGAAUUUCGGCGCUGGAAGAAAAAACGAGGCUGUCGGUUGCGGUCAAGACCCCAAAGCUUCGGACACCCCAUAGGACAGUGCAAUUUCAGCCUAGAGAUUAGAGAUCGGAAUCGACUUCACGCCGGUAGGGGCAGCACCCGGAGCCGCGGCGGCCUAAGAAGGGACGAGGACGCUGACUCAGCGCGCGGUGCACACAAUAGAGCGAAGCGCUGCCAGUUCUUACCGCCAAGGUUAGUUUUUGGUGCGCGUGCGGGGUUCAACCGGCAAAGAUGAGGUGACCGUGUUUUAUUCCCGUGCCCAGUCCGCUCGCGGGAAUUUACCCCCAGCCCCGUCUGCCUGGGGGGAGCGCGAGCCUCUGGGAAAAAGCAAAAACCAAAAAACCCCCCAAAAGAACCACCACAACAAAAAAAACACUUGACAAUUAUGGGGCUGACAGGCCGGAAAACGGGACGGCUGUAAGGGCCGCCCCACGCCGCGAGCGGCUCUGGUGAUUGGUCCACCGCGUCCACGUGAUCGCUGUACGUCAUACGUUCAAAGAUGGCCGCCCCCAGCGUGCUCCGGCGUCGCGGGCGCGGCCAUAUUCGCUGGUGAGGAAAAAGUCGUAAACCUCGUUCUGCGUGCUCCGUGGAAACGCCGCGGACCCGGGUCCGACGACCUUCUCGGGAGAGCAGUCUGGGCGAGGGGACUCGG
Long non-coding RNA from Echinops telfairi (small Madagascar hedgehog), 981 nucleotides. RefSeq lists it as uncharacterized. The transcript has 3 exons. The record is from RefSeq and is a predicted model, not a curated record. Lineage: Eukaryota; Metazoa; Chordata; Mammalia; Afrosoricida; Tenrecidae.